Molecule: long non-coding RNA, 827 nt
Filed under: Capra hircus (goat)
Lineage: Eukaryota; Metazoa; Chordata; Mammalia; Artiodactyla; Bovidae
Description: lncRNA (ENSCHIG00010007774.1)
Source: RNAcentral
GCUUUAUCAGAUAGAGUGCAUUACUAGCCAAUAAUAUUAAGUUGUAUGUAGUCUCUUACUUGUAGUAGUUUGAAAGCAGGUGGAACUUGAAGGUAAUUGAGAUUAAGUGAAUUUAAGAUAAAAUAGGUUUAUAUAAUCAGCUACUGCCAUGCAUAUUUUAUAAAGAGUUUCAAAGUGAAAAAUUUUCAUAUGGUGAAAUAAAUUUUUCAUUGUAUCUGAUGUAAGAAAUAUGGUUUUAAGUGUAUUACCUUAAUAAUUAUUCCUAAACAAAACUAGAGUGCAAAAUAAUCAUGGACUAUAUCUGUUAGGUCAACCAAAUGAGAAUAAUAAUUCCUAGAUUUCAUCUUGGCCUUUUGGGUUUCUGGGGCAUUUUAGGUCUUUGAUGUAAAGUGGACUUAACCAUUGCACUUUUCUAAGAAGUUUCUUCCUCUCUUCUGGUAGGUGUCUGACGAUUUGUGAACCCCAGAUAACUAUUCUGUGGAGCCAUCUUUCCUUGCCUUUGAAUUAGCUUUCCCUAGGCCAAGAAUCAACAUCAAUAUUUUAUACAGCCAAAUUGAGUGUGCUCUAGUGAGGUCUGCCAAGUGUACUGAUGAAAAUCACCCAAAUGUAUACAUGAGACAAAGAGAUGAUGUAAUAAUGGAAAUGCUCUUCCUACUUUGGAAGAAAAGAAGCUCAACUUGUAUGUUCUCUCUAGUUCAUUCCCUUCCAUUCACUUUUGUGACAUAUUUUAAAAUCAAUGUAACAAAGUAAUUCUGAAAGUAAAUUGCUGACAAAUAAUAUGACUGUGUUGUUAAAAAUGAUUUUAAAAAUGAUACCUAUCUUAUCUC